GAUGAACGCUGGCGGCGUGCCUAAUACGUGCAAGUCGAGCGAACAGACGAGGAGCUUGCUCCUCUGACGUUAGCGGCGGACGUGUGAGUAACACGUGGAUAACCUACCUAUAAGACUGGGAUAACUUCGGGAAACCGGAGCUAAUACCGGAUAAUAUAUUGAACCGCAUGGUUCAAUAGUGAAAGACGGUUUUGCUGUCACUUAUAGAUGGAUCCGCGCCGCAUUAGCUAGUUGGUAAGGUAACGGCUUACCAAGGCAACGAUGCGUAGCCGACCUGAGAGGGUGAUAGGCCGCACUGGAACUGAGACACGGUCCAGACUACUACGGGAGGCCGCAGUCGGGAAUCUUACGCAGUGGGCGAAAGCCUGACGGAGUAACGGCGAGCGAGUGAUGACGGUGUUCGGAUCGUAAAACUCUGUUAUUAGGGAAGAACAAAUGUGUAAGUAACUAUGCACGUCUUGACGGUACCUAAUAAGAAAGCAACGGCUAACUACGUG
Molecule: ribosomal RNA, 497 nt
Filed under: uncultured bacterium
Lineage: Bacteria
Description: partial 16S ribosomal RNA
Rfam family: Bacterial small subunit ribosomal RNA
Source: RNAcentral